This 839-nucleotide ribosomal RNA is filed under the name uncultured archaeon. RNAcentral's name for it is "bacterial SSU rRNA". It matches the Rfam family "Archaeal small subunit ribosomal RNA", at positions 21 to 859 of the family's 1478-position model. The record is from RNAcentral.
AGGUUACUGCUAUCGGUGUUCGCUUAAGCCAUGCGAGUCAUAUGUUCUUCGUGAACAUGGCGUACUGCUCAGUAACACGUGGAUAACCUGCCCUUGGGUCCGGCAUAACCCCGGGAAACUGGGGAUAAUUCCGGAUAACGCACAUAUGCUGGAAUGCUUUAUGCGCCAAAUGGAUUCGUCCGCCCAAGGAUGGGUCUGCGGCCUACCAGGUAGUAGUGGGUGUAAUGUACCUACUAGCCUACGACGGGUACGGGUUGUGAGAGCAAGAGCCCGGAGAUGGAUUCUGAGACAUGAAUCCAGGCCCUACGGGGCGCAGCAGGCGCGAAAACUUUACAAUGCGGGAAGCCGUGAUAAGGGGACACCGAGUGCCAGCAUCAUAUGCUGGCUGUCCGGGUGUGUAAAAUACACCUGUUAGCAAGGGCCGGGCAAGACCGGUGCCAGCCGCCGCGGUAACACCGGCGGCCCGAGUGGUGAUCGUGAUUAUUGGGUCUAAAGGGUCCGUAGCCGGUUUGGUCAGUCCUCCGGGAAAUCUGACGGCUUAACCGUUAGGCUAUCGGAGGAUACUGCCAGACUUGGAACCGGGAGAGGUAAGAGGUACUACAGGGGUAGGAGUGAAAUCUUGUAAUCCCUGUGGGACCACCUGUGGCGAAGGCGUCUUACCAGAACGGGUUCGACGGUGAGGGACGAAAGCUGGGGGCACGAACCGGAUUAGAUACCCGGGUAGUCCCAGCCGUAAACGAUGCUCGCUAGGUGUCAGGCAUGGCGCGACCGUGUCUGGUGCCGCAGGGAAGCCGUGAAGCGAGCCACCUGGGAAGUACGGCCGCAAGGCUGAAACUUAA